Molecule: ribosomal RNA, 253 nt
Filed under: Anaerostipes hadrus ATCC 29173 = JCM 17467
Lineage: Bacteria; Bacillati; Bacillota; Clostridia; Lachnospirales; Lachnospiraceae
Description: Anaerostipes hadrus DSM 3319 partial 16S ribosomal RNA
Rfam family: Bacterial small subunit ribosomal RNA
Source: RNAcentral
UACGUAGGGGGCAAGCGUUAUCCGGAAUUACUGGGUGUAAAGGGUGCGUAGGUGGUAUGGUAAGUCAGAAGUGAAAACCCAGGGCUUAACUCUGGGACUGCUUUUGAAACUGUCAGACUGGAGUGCAGGAGAGGUAAGCGGAAUUCCUAGUGUAGCGGUGAAAUGCGUAGAUAUUAGGAGGAACAUCAGUGGCGAAGGCGGCUUACUGGACUGAAACUGACACUGAGGCACGAAAGCGUGGGGAGCAAACAGG